RNAcentral lists this ribosomal RNA (422 nucleotides) under uncultured bacterium. Its description in RNAcentral is "partial 16S ribosomal RNA". It matches the Rfam family "Bacterial small subunit ribosomal RNA", at positions 360 to 774 of the family's 1533-position model. The record is from RNAcentral.
AAUUUUGGACAAUGGGGGAAACCCUGAUCCAGCCAUCUCGCGUGUAUGAUGACGGCCUUCGGGUUGUAAAGUACUUUUGGCAGAGAAGAAAAGGUAUCUCCUAAUACGAGAUACUGCUGACGGUAUCUGCAGAUUAAGCACCGGCUAACUACGUGCCAGCAGCCGCGGUAAUACGCAGGGUGCAAGCGUUAAUCGAAAUUAUUGGGCUUAAAGCGUGUGUAGGCGGGUCGGAAAGAAAGAUGUGAAAUCCAAGGGCUCAACCUUGGAACUGCAUUGUUAACUGCCGAGCUAGAGUAUGUCAGAGGGGGGUAGAAUUCCACGUGUAGCAGUGAAAUGCGUAGAUAUGUGGAGGAAUACCGAUGGCGAAGGCAGCCCCCUGGGAUAAUACUGACGCUCAGACACGAAAGCGUGGGGAGCAAACA